This 460-nucleotide ribosomal RNA is filed under the name uncultured bacterium. RNAcentral describes it as "partial 16S ribosomal RNA". It matches the Rfam family "Bacterial small subunit ribosomal RNA", at positions 338 to 795 of the family's 1533-position model. The record is from RNAcentral.
CCUACGGGUGGCAGCAGUGAGGAAUAUUGGUCAAUGGACGAGAGUCUGAACCAGCCAAGUAGCGUGAAGGAUGACUGCCCUAUGGGUUGUAAACUUCUUUUAUAUGGGAAUAAAAUGUUCCACGUGUGUGAUUUUGUAUGUACCAUAUGAAUAAGGAUCGGCUAACUCCGUGCCAGCAGCCGCGGUAAUACGGAGGAUCCGAGCGUUAUCCGGAUUUAUUGGGUUUAAAGGGAGCGUAGGUGGAUUGUUAAGUCAGUUGUGAAAGUUUGCGGCUCAACCGUAAAAUUGCAGUUGAAACUGGCAGUCUUGAGGACAGUAGAGGUGGGCGGAAUUCGUGGUGUAGCGGUGAAAUGCUUAGAUAUCACGAAGAACUCCGAUUGCGAAGGCAGUUCACUGGACUGCAACUGACACUGAGGCUCGAAAGUGUGGGUAUCAAACAGGAUUAGAUACCCCUGUAGUC